CCUACGGGAGGCAGCAGUGAGGAAUAUUGGUCAAUGGGCUUACGCCUGAACCAGCCAAGUCGCGUGAGGGAAGACUGCCCUAUGGGUUGUAAACCUCUUUUGUCAGGGAGCAACGCCGGCUACGUGUAGCCGGACUGAGAGUACCUGAAGAAAAAGCAUCGGCUAACUCCGUGCCAGCAGCCGCGGUAAUACGGAGGAUCCGAGCGUUAUCCGGAUUUAUUGGGUUUAAAGGGUGCGUAGGCGGCCUGUUAAGUCAGCGGUGAAAGUCUGUGGCUCAACCAUAGAAUUGCCGUUGAAACUGGGAGGCUUAAGUAUUGUUGAGGCAGGCGGAAUGCGUGGUGUAGAGGUGAAAUGCUUAGAUAUCACGCAGAACCCCGAUUGCGAAGGCAGCCUGCCAAGCCAUGACUGACGCUGAUGCACGAAAGCGUGGGGAUCAAACAGGAUUAGAUACCCUGGUAGUC
This 461-nucleotide ribosomal RNA is filed under the name uncultured bacterium. RNAcentral describes it as "partial 16S ribosomal RNA". It matches the Rfam family "Bacterial small subunit ribosomal RNA", at positions 338 to 795 of the family's 1533-position model. The record is from RNAcentral.